GCUCAUCUGUCGUGUCCUGAGACUGAGAUACGCGGCUCUUAUCAGGGUCGUCGACACGACGGGAGGUCCUGCUAGCCUUGUCUUGCCUUAGCCGUAUAUCUUGCGUAUAGGAAUCCCGGUGAAGCUUUGGUUUUCCCCAGAGUUGAGGUUUUUCCUCUAAGGAAUCCGACGAGAUCACGAGAUUCGUGAUAGAGGAUGCCUUUGCGGCCUGUGUUCGUUUGUGAAGGACUAGUUGGAGCACCCCUGGAGGGUUUAAUCUUUCGAAAAGCCGUGCCCGCGGUUAUGUGGCAACUUGGAAUAUUUUGUUAACAUCCGGU
RNAcentral lists this long non-coding RNA (317 nucleotides) under Hordeum vulgare. Its description in RNAcentral is "long non-coding RNA (HVUL_LNC011581)". Lineage: Eukaryota; Viridiplantae; Streptophyta; Magnoliopsida; Poales; Poaceae. The record is from RNAcentral.